This 85-nucleotide transfer RNA is filed under the name Chloroflexota bacterium. RNAcentral's name for it is "Chloroflexi bacterium tRNA-Leu". It matches the Rfam family "tRNA". Rfam says of the family: Transfer RNA (tRNA) molecules are approximately 80 nucleotides in length. Their secondary structure includes four short double-helical elements and three loops (D, anti-codon, and T loops). Lineage: Bacteria; Bacillati; Chloroflexota. The record is from RNAcentral.
GGGGCUGUGGCGGAAUUGGCAGACGCGCGUGACUUAAAAUCUCGUUCCGUAAGGAGUGUGGGUUCGAGUCCCACCAGCCCCAUCA